CUCCAGUUGGCAGUUACGUACGUAACGAACAGGAGUGAGUCGGAAAUCUAAUCAAGGUGAAACCAGAAGAAGAAGAACGAGCAGAAACAUUUCUUGCGGAAAUUUUAAAAUAAAAUAACGUUUUUAUUUGAUGAAAAUGUCGUGUAACGAGAAAACAUCUGGCAGUAAGAACAAACACUACACAUUAAUGGAACGAAAAGUGUUUCUACAGAUAUUAAAUGAUUAUAAACAUGUAAUCGAAUUAAAAAAAA
Long non-coding RNA from Trachymyrmex cornetzi, 251 nucleotides. RefSeq lists it as uncharacterized. The record is from RefSeq and is a predicted model, not a curated record. NCBI's taxonomy places the organism in Eukaryota, Metazoa, Arthropoda, Insecta, Hymenoptera, Formicidae. The transcript is spliced from 2 exons.